ACGCUCGACACCUACUGGAGGCAGCAGUUGGGAAUAUUGGACAAUGGAGGAAACUCUGAUCCAGUGACGCCGCGUGAAGGAAGAAGGUCUUCGGAUUGUAAACUUAUUUUGUCAGGGAAGAAAAAUGACUGUACCUGAAGAAAAAGCACCGGCUAACUACGUGCCGACAGCCGCGGUAAUCUGAGCGGGCUGGCAAGGC
This 199-nucleotide ribosomal RNA is filed under the name uncultured bacterium. Its description in RNAcentral is "partial 16S ribosomal RNA". It matches the Rfam family "Bacterial small subunit ribosomal RNA", at positions 328 to 539 of the family's 1533-position model. The record is from RNAcentral.